GGGGGCGGUGGCAGGGCCGGUGGGCGGUGGCGGCUCCCGGUCUCGCCCGGGCGCGGCCCUGCGCAGCCCGCCCCCCAGCCGCAGGGGCGCUCCUGAGCUUCGCGGGGCCGCAGUCCGGGAUGCCUGCGCGAAGGGCGGGGCGGAGGGCCGGCCGUUGCCGACGUGGGUGUUAAGUGGCCGCCCCAGCCGGCGACCCGGAGCCGAGAGCGGGCGGCGGAGCCUGAGCUGGACGCGGCCACGCCGGCGCGGCGGGAUAUGUGGUGCCUGUCAUAAGCUCCAGAGAGCUGCCUUCCACAAGACCAGCAGAAGAGUGGGCAAACAUGAAAUCCAAUCCUGCUAUCCAGGCUGCCAUUGACCUCACAGCGGGGGCUGCAGGGGGUACAGCAUGUGUACUGACCGGGCAGCCCUUUGACACAAUGAAAGUGAAGAUGCAGACGUUCCCUGACCUGUACCGGGGCCUCACCGACUGCUGCCUGAAGACUUACUCCCAGGUGGGCUUCCGUGGCUUCUACAAGGGGACCAGUCCAGCACUAAUCGCCAACAUCGCUGAGAACUCAGUCCUCUUCAUGUGCUACGGCUUCUGCCAGCAGGUGGUGCGGAAGGUGGCUGGAUUGGACAAGCAGGCAAAGCUGAGGUUAACAGAGAGUCCCUGAGGGAGGCCAACUGUGGAUCUGCAGGCUGGCUGCAAGACAGCAGAAACCAUUUUAAGCUUCAGUUCUAACAAGCUGCUAAGGAGUGAAGUGGGGGAAAGGAGUGGACUAAACAGCAUUGGAUGGUUUCCACACCCCAUAAAAGCGUGUUGAUCUGCAGAAUGCAGCUGCCGGUUCCUUCGCCUCUGCCUUUGCUGCACUGGUGCUCUGCCCCACGGAGCUUGUGAAGUGCCGGCUGCAGACCAUGUAUGAGAUGGAGACAUCAGGGAAGAUAGCCAAGAGCCAGAAUACAGUGUGGUCUGUCAUCAAAAGUAUUCUUAGGAAAGAUGGCCCCUUGGGGUUCUACCAUGGACUCUCAAGCACUUUACUUCGAGAAGUACCAGGCUAUUUCUUCUUCUUCGGUGGCUAUGAACUGAGCCGGUCCUUUUUUGCAUCAGGGAGAUCAAAAGAUGAAUUAGGCCCUGUACCUUUGAUGUUAAGUGGUGGAGUUG
This 1141-nucleotide small RNA is filed under the name Pan troglodytes (chimpanzee). Its description in RNAcentral is "processed transcript". The record is from RNAcentral. Lineage: Eukaryota; Metazoa; Chordata; Mammalia; Primates; Hominidae.